GUCUACGGCCAGGCUACCCUGAACAAGCCCAAUCCCAUCUGAUCUCAGAAGCUAAGCAGGGUCGGGCCUGGUUAGUAUUUGGAUGGAAGACCACCUAGGAAGACUAUGUGCUAUAGGUG
RNAcentral lists this ribosomal RNA (119 nucleotides) under Pteropus alecto (black flying fox). Lineage: Eukaryota; Metazoa; Chordata; Mammalia; Chiroptera; Pteropodidae. The record is from RNAcentral.